This 23-nucleotide non-coding RNA is filed under the name Arabidopsis thaliana (thale cress). Lineage: Eukaryota; Viridiplantae; Streptophyta; Magnoliopsida; Brassicales; Brassicaceae. The record is from RNAcentral.
UGCGAUACUUGGUGUGAAUUGCA